Long non-coding RNA from Rhineura floridana, 270 nucleotides. RefSeq lists it as uncharacterized. The record is from RefSeq and is a predicted model, not a curated record. The transcript has 3 exons. NCBI's taxonomy places the organism in Eukaryota, Metazoa, Chordata, Lepidosauria, Squamata, Rhineuridae.
AACUUAUGUAGCCUUGUCACCCAGACCCAGCUGCAACUUGUUAGCCUCUUACUCCUAAGAAGCCUAGUACAAGAAGAACUAGUGAGGCCAAAUGUUGGAUUGUGAACACCAUUUGGGGAGGUAUUGUGAAUAGGAUCCAUUUCUUCACCCAGACUAAACAACAAGCAGCAAAAUACAGUCAAUUGUCUGCUUUGGAUGGGAAUGUACUUCACCUGAAGGAAGAGGUUAAUAGAUGGAGUGCUCCUGGAUCCAUAUCUGUUGUUAGAGACC